Molecule: transfer RNA, 75 nt
Filed under: Rhizobacter gummiphilus
Lineage: Bacteria; Pseudomonadati; Pseudomonadota; Betaproteobacteria; Burkholderiales; Sphaerotilaceae
Description: tRNA-Gln
Rfam family: tRNA
About the family: Transfer RNA (tRNA) molecules are approximately 80 nucleotides in length.
Source: RNAcentral
UGGGGCGUAGCUCAACGGUAGAGCAGCGGACUUUGACUCCGCUGGCUGGAGGUUCGAGUCCUCCCGCCCUUGCCA